This is a non-coding RNA of Kogia breviceps (pygmy sperm whale), 513 nucleotides long. NCBI's taxonomy places the organism in Eukaryota, Metazoa, Chordata, Mammalia, Artiodactyla, Physeteridae. The record is from RefSeq and is a predicted model, not a curated record.
AAAUGUGGCAAUGUUGUUUAUAUACCACAUUGUAAGUCUACUGGAGAUCCAAAGGGAUUUGCCUUUGUGGAAUUUGAAACAAAAGAACAAGCAGCAAAAGCUAUUGAGUUUCUUAAUAACCCACCAGAGGAAGCACCAAGAAAACCUGGUAUAUUUCCCAAGACAGUGAAAAACAAGCCCAUUCCUGCCCUUAGAGUAGCUGGUGAAAGAAAAGAAAAAGAAGAAGAAAGACCGAAUGAAGAAAGAAGACAGUAUCCAGACCAAAGAGUCAAAUAUGGACACAAGCAAGGAAAGCAUCUGUAAAAAAAGAUCGAGGACCACAUCUGAGGGCUCUGAAGUAGAGGUUACUGAACCCCAAAAGCCACCCACAGAGAAGAAGAAAAAACGAGAAAGAACUGAAGUAUCCAGCUUACCUUUAGGCAAUACAGGGAAGGGAAAGAGAAGGAGCUCUGAAGAUGCAGAUUACCUAACUCCCAAAUCAAAACUUGAAAAAGUGGCUCAGAAAGACAACAU